CCAGUAGUCAUAUGCUUGUCUCAAAGAUUAAGCCAUGCAUGUCUCAGUACAAGCCAAAUUAAGGUGAAACCGCGAAAGGCUCAUUAAAUCAGUUAUGGUUCCUUAGAUCGUACCCACAUUUACUUGGAUAACUGUGGUAAUUCUAGAGCUAAUACAUGCAAACAGAGCUCCGACCGGAGACGGAAGGAGCGCUUUUAUUAGAUCAAAACCAAUCGGUGGCGGGUCUCCCGUCACCGUACACCUUGGUGACUCUGAAUAACUUAUUGCUGAUCGCACGGUCUCGCACCGGCGACGCAUCUUUCAAAUGUCUGCCUUAUCAACUGUCGAUGGUAGGUUCUGCGCCUACCAUGGUUGUAACGGGUAACGGGGAAUCAGGGUUCGAUUCCGGAGAGGGAGCCUGAGAAACGGCUACCACAUCCAAGGAAGGCAGCAGGCGCGCAAAUUACCCACUCCCGGCACGGGGAGGUAGUGACGAAAAAUAACGAUACGGGACUCAUCCGAGGCCCCGUAAUCGGAAUGAGUACACUCUAAACCCUUUAACGAGGAUCAAUUGGAGGGCAAGUCUGGUGCCAGCAGCCGCGGUAAUUCCAGCUCCAAUAGCGUAUAUUAAAGUUGUUGCGGUUAAAAAGCUCGUAGUCGAAUUUGUGUCCCGCGCCGCCGGUUCAUCGCUCGCGGUGUCAACUGGCGUGUCCGCGGGACGUCCUGCCGGUGGGCUUAGCCCCCCGUGGGCGGCCCAAUCUCAAUCCCACCGCGGUGCUCUUCACUGAGUGUCGAGGUGGGCCGGCACGUUUACUUUGAACAAAUUAGAGUGCUUAAAGCAGGCUAAAACAUCGCCUGAAUACUGUGUGCAUGGAAUAAUGGAAUAGGACCUCGGUUCUAUUUUGUUGGUUUUCGGAACCCCGAGGUAAUGAUUAAUAGGAACGGAUGGGGGCAUUCGUAUUGCGACGU
This 948-nucleotide ribosomal RNA is filed under the name Lepanus sp. NQ6. RNAcentral describes it as "SSU rRNA". It matches the Rfam family "Eukaryotic small subunit ribosomal RNA", at positions 17 to 905 of the family's 1831-position model. Lineage: Eukaryota; Metazoa; Arthropoda; Insecta; Coleoptera; Scarabaeidae. The record is from RNAcentral. RNAcentral also lists the same sequence under 1 other name.